UGGCGUGGCGUGGCGUGGGAGAUGCUGGUCAUCUCUGAGCUGAGUCAUAUAUCAGCCUGUAACCAAACGCACAGCUGCGUAAAUUAUUCACAUUAUUUUCUACCUGCUGCUGCGACACAGACACGAGGAUGUUCUUUAACACAACGUGGCGUCGACUUUCAUGUUCCUCCUGGUCUCUUGGACUGUGUCUCCUCGGUUACUGCUCGUUACUAUGAGGACUGACAGAGCGCCACACAUCCCACACAUCAGUGAGACACACUGUUCCUUCAUCACCGUGAACACACGCGGAUUAAUACGCCGCUGAAAAUAGUCCCCGGCUAAUGCACUGUUUCCUCCUGCUUGAUGAAAAGUACAGUGAGCAGCUGUUUGAGGAAACUAGGCCGAUAUACUCGGAGCUGAGAGCCACGUUAUUAUUAUCAGAUAAAACAGAACAACUCCGAUUAUUUUAUCAUCAAGUAGAAUCAGAAAAUAAAACCCAGCAGACAGAGGUGCUUUCACUCGUCAAUACUGACUGAAACCUAAAGGAUGUAUUUAAAACUUAUUUCUGGCAGAGCAGUUUGUUUAAAUGAUCCUCUUCCUGCGGCAGAUCUGAGACUGAGCUGCAGCUCUGAACCACAGACACAAGAAGAAAACAACCAACAACAACUGACGCUUUAGAAAUCCUAAUCAACUUUAACUCAUUUUAUUACUUGAUUACAUUUUUGGCUUCCAACCAUUUUGAAAACAAGAUAACUGAGAUAAAACUAUUUUUGUGCCUCAUUCUUUUUCACAGCAAAUUUCCUCCCCAUACAAUCAGCAGGUUGUGGAAAAACACUAAUAAUAAAUAACAAAUAUUUUUAUAUUAUAUAUUUAAUUGUAAUAUUAAGAUAUUAGAUAUUUAUUUUAUCUAUUCAUCUUUUUAAUUAAUUUCUUUAUUUGUUUUUCUGUUGAUUUGUAUUUAAAGUUUGAGAAAGUGGACUGUUAAAGUGCAUGUUGUUUCCAAAGUCACUGAGUAAUCAUGUUAAAUGACUGAUUGUGAUCGUGAUCAAUGAUUCAGCUCUACUUCCCAACUGAAACGUAUGAUAAUUAUUUAAAGUAGGUUUUAUUGUGUGGUGGUGUGUGUUGCCUGGAGCUCAGGGAAGCUGCUGGUGACGUUUCAAAGUGAAACUAAUAAGUUGUUGUGUGUUUGUGGCUGAAAGGUUUGGAGGCUACGGUCUGGUCACAGCGAGCGGUGUAGAAACCAACCGGACGACGGGUCUAUAUGCUGCAUGUCUACGUAUGGCCUGUAAACACAUGCCUUCGAAUGUGGUCAUGCGUGUGCAGGAGGCGCACGCACACAUAUGCUCUUUUUUCUUGUUUGUUCAUAUUUAGUCAUUAAUAUUAAUACGUAUUAUCAUAAUGAUUUUGGUUCUGUAAUUAUUUCUCUGCUGCUUGUGGCUGGAGCUGAGAGCCGACACACACCUGAUAUAUAACCACACCACAUUUUGCAUGUUUGGUCUCCACAGUAAUAUUCAAAUUUGUGGUGUCACUUCCUGUUUUUUUUAAUAUGCAGUAAAUAACUGAUCAAAAGAAAAAAGAGUCUUCAACAGUCGGACUGACGGAGGAGAGUCUCUCCCUCCAUCGACUCCGUUACAUGUCUCCGCCCCCAGGUACAUCUCCCACCUACUGACCAGGUGUGUCCAGCCCAGAAUAUUGAUCUGCUGAUGGCGGCCUGCUGGUCACAGCUUGUGAGUGGGGGUGACCAGGUUCACUAUCAGACCCCCCCACUCUGGAAUCAGAUGCUUCGACUUCCUUUAAAUCACCUCUUUGUCUCGGCCCGUCUGCACCGUUUAUUUACAUCGUUUCAUCCCUUAUUCUUGUUUUUCCAUCUUCUUUUUCUUUUCUCUUCCUGCUGAUGUGAGAUGUUUUUUUAUUCAUGCUGUUCUUCUCUUUUUAUUAAGUUCAGGUUCUUUGAAUUUUAUCUUGUUUUACUUUUUCUUGUGAAGCACUUUGUAACUUUGUUAAGAAACAUGGUGUAUAAAUAAAGUUAUUAUUAUUAUUAUUAUAAUAA
Long non-coding RNA from Seriola aureovittata, 2029 nucleotides. RefSeq lists it as uncharacterized. The record is from RefSeq and is a predicted model, not a curated record. Lineage: Eukaryota; Metazoa; Chordata; Actinopteri; Carangiformes; Carangidae. The transcript has 2 exons.